GAAGGAGCCGUCUAAGGCAGGGCAGAUGACUGGGGUGAAGUCGUAACAAGGUAGCCGUAGGAGAACCUGCGGCUGGAUCACCUCCUUUCUNNNNNNNNNNNAAAGGAAGCAGCGGAUAUGGAGAGUAGAAAUACUAAGAGAAGUAUCCAAAGCAAGCGGAAGCACACUGAGAAACUUUGUUUAGUUUUGAGGGUAUUACCUCAAAGAUUUGAAUACACCCAAGCGUUAGUCGGGCCUAUAGCUCAGCUGGUUUAGAGCGCACGCCUGAUAAGCGUGAGGUCGAUGGUUCCAAAGUCCAUUUAGGCCCAUUGACAUAACGAAAAAUGAGAGUUAUUGUUAUGUCUGCCUAUAAAAAAUAAUACUUGGGGGCUUAGCUCAGUUGGGAGAGCACCUGCUUUGCACGCAGGAGGUCAUCGGUUCGAACCCGUUAGCCUCCAUUGGAUCGAGAGGUCCAGAGUUAGCACAUUGAAAACUGAAUACAAUCCAAGCAAAAACCGAGACAAUCAAAGAAGAGAUUGAAGAGCGACCGAGAAGAGAGAUUCUUGAGUAAGGUCAAGUAGAAAAGGGCGCACGGUGAAUGCCUAGGCACUAGAAGCCGAUGAAGGACGUAACGAACUGCGAAAAGCUUCGGGGAGCUGUAAGUAAGCUAAGAUCCGGAGAUGUCCGAAUGGGGGAACCCGGUGCAGGAGAUGCAUCAUUGCAUGCUGUUAAGGCAUGUAAGGGAAGACGCAGCGAACUGAAACAUCUAAGUAGCUGCAGGAAGAGAAAGAAAAAUCGAUUUCCUUAGUAGCGGCGAGCGAAGAGGAAAGAGCCUAAACCCGUUGAUUUAUCAGCGGGGGUUGUAGGACUGCGCAAGGCAGCUCAAAGGAUAGCAGAACUACCUGGGAAGGUAGGCCAGAGAGGGUGAGAGCCCCGUAAGCGAAAUCCAGCGAGCGCCGGCAGGAUCCUGAGUAGGGCGGAACACGAGGAAUUCCGUUUGAAUCCGCGAGGACCAUCUCGCAAGGCUAAAUACUAGCUAGUGACCGAUAGUGAACCAGUACCGUGAGGGAAAGGUGAAAAGAACCCCGGAAGGGGAGUGAAAGAGAACCUGAAACCGUGUGCCUACAAGUAGUCAGAGCACAUUAAAGUGUAAUGGCGUGCCUUUUGUAGAAUGAACCGGCGAGUUAUGCUGUGCAGCGAGGUUAAGUCAGAAAAGACGGAGCCGGAGCGAAAGCGAGUCUGAAGAGGGCGAGAAGUUGUGCGGUGUAGACCCGAAACCAAGUGACCUACCCAUGACCAGGUUGAAGGUGCGGUAAAACGCACUGGAGGACCGAACCCACGUAAGUUAAAAAUUGCGGGGAUGAGUUGUGGGUAGCGGUGAAAUUCCAAACGAACUUGGAGAUAGCUGGUUCUCUCCGAAAUAGCUUUAGGGCUAGCCUCGUGGAGAGGAUAAUGGAGGUAGAGCUCUGUUUGGACAAGGGGCCCGUCAGGGGUUACUAAAUCCAGAUAAACUGCGAAUUCCAGAUAUCCAUACACGGGAGUCAGACUGCGAGUGAUAAGAUCCGUAGUCGAAAGGGAAACAGCCCAGAUCACCAGUUAAGGUCCCCAAAUCUAUGCUAAGUGGAAAAGGAUGUGGAGUUGCGUAGACAACUAGGACGUUGGCUCAGAAGCAGCCAUCAUUCAAAGAGUGCGUAAUAGCUCACUAGUCGAGUGGCUCUGCGCCGAAAAUUUACCGGGGCUAAGCAUAGUACCGAAACUGUGGACGUGUUUUAAAGAGCACGUGGUAGGAGAGCGUUCUAAGAGCGGAGAAGUCUGAUCGAGAGGACAGAUGGAGCGCUUAGAAGUGAGAAUGCCGGUAUGAGUAGCGAAAGAUAGGUAAGAAUCCUAUCCGCCGGAAGACUAAGGUUUCCUGGGGCAGGCUCGUCCGCCCAGGGUAAGUCGGGACCUAAGGCAAGGCCGAGAGGCGUAACCGAUGGAUAACAGGUAGAGAUUCCUGUACUGCGUUUAAUCGUUAAGAGCGAAGGAGGGACGCAGGAGGCGAAGCACCGCAUGGCGCUGGAAGGCCAUGUUCAAGCGAUAAGCCUGGGAGCGAGUUAAAUGCUUGCUUCUAAGGGCAAGUCGUGAGGAGGAGCGAAGUUAAAGUAGCGAAGGUGCAAGAGUCACACUGCCAAGAAAAGCUUCUAGCCAGAGAGAACGUACCCGUACCGCAAACCGACACAGGUAGUCAAGUGGAGAACACUAAGGUGAGCGAGAGAACUCUCGUUAAGGAACUCGGCAAAAUGACCCCGUAACUUCGGGAGAAGGGGUGCUGAUCGAGAGAUCAGCCGCAGAGAAUAGGCCCAAACAACUGUUUAUCAAAAACACAGGUCUCUGCAAAGUCGUAAGACGACGUAUAGGGGCUGACACCUGCCCGGUGCUGGAAGGUUAAGAGGAGUGCUUAGCUUCGGCGAAGGUACGAAUUUAAGCCCCAGUAAACGGCGGCCGUAACUAUAACGGUCCUAAGGUAGCGAAAUUCCUUGUCGGGUAAGUUCCGACCUGCACGAAAGGUGUAAUGAUUUGGGCACUGUCUCAACGAGAGACUCGGUGAAAUUAUAAUACCCGUGAAGAUGCGGGUUACCCGCGACAGGACGGAAAGACCCCAUGGAGCUUCACUGUAGCUUGAUAUUGAGUAUCUGUUAAACAUGUACAGGAUAGGUAGGAGCCAGAGAAGGUAGGACGCUAGUCUUACUGGAGGCGAUGUUGGGAUACUACCCUUGUUUGAUGGAUGCUCUAACCUAGGCCCGUAAGCCGGGCCAGGGGACAGUGUCAGGUAGGCAGUUUGACUGGGGCGGUCGCCUCCUAAAGUGUAACGGAGGCGCUCAAAGGUUCCCUCAGAAUGGUUGGAAAUCAUUCGCAGAGUGUAAAGGUAUAAGGGAGCUUGACUGCGAGAGAGACAGCUCGAGCAGGGACGAAAGUCGGACUUAGUGAUCUGGUGGUACCGUAUGGAAGGGCCAUCACUCAACGGAUAAAAGCUACCCUGGGGAUAACAGGCUUAUCUCCCCCAAGAGUUCACAUCGACGGGGAGGUUUGGCACCUCGAUGUCGGCUCGUCGCAUCCUGGGGCUGAAGUUGGUCCCAAGGGUUGGGAUGUUCGCCCAUUAAAGCGGCACGCGAGCUGGGUUCAGAACGUCGUGAGACAGUUCGGUCCCUAUCCGUCGUGGGCGCAGGAAAUUUGAGAGGAGCUGUCCUUAGUACGAGAGGACCGGGAUGGACGCACCGCUGGUGUACCAGUUGUCUUGCCAAAGGCAUCGCUGGGUAGCUAUGUGCGGAAGGGAUAAGCGCUGAAAGCAUCUAAGUGCGAAGCCCCCCUCAAGAUGAGAUUUCCAAUGCAAGAAGUAAGACACCUCAGAGACGAUGAGGUAGAUAGGCUGGGAGUGGAAGUUCUGCGAAGAAUGGAGCGGACCAGUACUAAUCAGUCGAGAACUUGACCAAAGCUCAGAGGUUGGAGCUUGGAAUGUAUUUAGUUUUGAGCGUGGAAGCUCAAGAAAGAGUACGGUGGCGAUACGAGAAGGAUACACCUGUUCCCAUCCCGAACACGCGGCG
This 3560-nucleotide ribosomal RNA is filed under the name Lactobacillus amylolyticus. RNAcentral's name for it is "bacterial LSU rRNA". The stretch from base 551 to 3449 matches the Rfam family "Bacterial large subunit ribosomal RNA". Lineage: Bacteria; Bacillati; Bacillota; Bacilli; Lactobacillales; Lactobacillaceae. The record is from RNAcentral.